GUACUCGCUUCGGCAGCAUAUAGAGUACAAUUAGAAUGUUGUAGAGAACAUUAACGUGGCCCCUGCACAAAGAUGACACUCAAAUUUGUGAAGCAUUCCAUAUUUCU
Vulpes vulpes (red fox) is the source of this 107-nucleotide small nuclear RNA. The record is from Ensembl. NCBI's taxonomy places the organism in Eukaryota, Metazoa, Chordata, Mammalia, Carnivora, Canidae.